This 527-nucleotide ribosomal RNA is filed under the name uncultured Actinomycetes bacterium. Its description in RNAcentral is "bacterial SSU rRNA". It matches the Rfam family "Bacterial small subunit ribosomal RNA", at positions 221 to 763 of the family's 1533-position model. The record is from RNAcentral. Lineage: Bacteria; Bacillati; Actinomycetota; Actinomycetes.
CGGGAGGGGCUCGCGGCCUAUCAGCUUGUUGGUGGGGUAACGGCCCACCAAGGCAUCGACGGGUAGCUGGUCUGAGAGGACGAUCAGCCACACUGGGACUGAGACACGGCCCAGACUCCUACGGGAGGCAGCAGUGGGGAAUCUUGCGCAAUGGGCGAAAGCCUGACGCAGCAACGCCGCGUGGAGGACGAAGGCUUUCUGAGUUGUAAACUCCUUUCAGCAGGGACGAUUGUGACGGUACCUGCAGAAGAAGCACCGGCCAACUACGUGCCAGCAGCCGCGGUGAUACGUAGGGUGCAAGCGUUGUCCGGAUUUAUUGGGCGUAAAGAGCUCGUAGGCGGUUUGAUAAGUCGGGUGUGAAAUCUCCAGGCUCAACCUGGAGCUGCCACUCGAUACUGUCAUGACUUGAAUUCGGUAGGGGACCACGGAAUUCCUGGUGUAGCGGUGAAAUGCGCAGAUAUCAGGAGGAACACCAGCAGCGAAGGCGGUGGUCUGGGCCGACAUUGACGCUGAGGAGCGAAAGCGUG